CCUACGGGGGGCAGCAGUGGGGAAUAUUGCACAAUGGGCGCAAGCCUGAUGCAGCCAUGCCGCGUGUAUGAAGAAGGCCUUCGGGUUGUAAAGUACUUUCAGCGAGGAGGAAGGCAUUAAGGUUAAUAACCUUAGUGAUUGACGUUACUCGCAGAAGAAGCACCGGCUAACUCCGUGCCAGCAGCCGCGGUAAUACGGAGGGUGCAAGCGUUAAUCGGAAUUACUGGGCGUAAAGCGCACGCAGGCGGUCUGUCAAGUCGGAUGUGAAAUCCCCGGGCUC
Molecule: ribosomal RNA, 280 nt
Filed under: uncultured bacterium
Lineage: Bacteria
Description: partial 16S ribosomal RNA
Rfam family: Bacterial small subunit ribosomal RNA
Source: RNAcentral